AUCAGCUUGUUGGUGAGGUAACGGCUCACCAAGGCGACGACGGGUAGCCGACCUGAGAGGGUGACCGGCCACACUGGGACUGAGACACGGCCCAGACUCCUACGGGAGGCAGCAGUGGGGAAUAUUGCACAAUGGGCGAAAGCCUGAUGCAGCGACGCCGCGUGCGGGAUGACGGCCUUCGGGUUGUAAACCGCUUUACACAGGGACGAAGCGCAAGUGACUGUACCUGUAGAAUAAGGACCGGCCAACUACGUGCCAGCAGCCGCGGUAAUACGUAGGGUCCGAGCGUUGUCCGGAAUUACUGGGCGUAAAGAGCUUGUAGGCGGUUCGUCGCGUCGUUUGUGAAAACUUGGGGCUCAACCUUAAGCUUGCAGGCGAUACGGGCGGACUAGAGUACUUCAGGGGAGACUGGAAUUCCUGGUGUAGCGGUGAAAUGCGCAGAUAUCAGGAGGAACACCGGUGGCGAAGGCGGGUCUCUGGGAAGUAACUGACGCUGAGAAGCGAAAGCAUGGGUAGCAAACAGGAUUAGAUACCCUGGUAGUCCAUGCCGUAAACGGUGGGUACUAGGUGUGGGGCUCCUUCCACGGACUCCGUGCCGUAGCUAACGCAUUAAGUUCCCCGCCUGGGGAGUACGGC
RNAcentral lists this ribosomal RNA (636 nucleotides) under Nocardia salmonicida. RNAcentral's name for it is "bacterial SSU rRNA". It matches the Rfam family "Bacterial small subunit ribosomal RNA", at positions 240 to 886 of the family's 1533-position model. The record is from RNAcentral. Lineage: Bacteria; Bacillati; Actinomycetota; Actinomycetes; Mycobacteriales; Nocardiaceae.